UACAGAGGGCCCAAGCGUUACUGAGAAUCACUGGGUUUAAAGGGUGCGUAGGUGGCGCGUUAAGUCCGUUGUGAAAUCCCUGGGCUCAACCCAGGAAAUGCUUCGGAUACUGGCGUGCUUGAGGCUAGUAGGGGUCACUGGAACUGACGGUGGAGCGGUGAAAUGCGUAGAUAUCGUCAGGAACGCCAAUGGUGAAGACAGGUGACUGGGCUAGAUCUGACACUGAGGCACGAAAGCGUGGGGAGCGAACGGG
RNAcentral lists this ribosomal RNA (253 nucleotides) under uncultured bacterium. RNAcentral describes it as "partial 16S ribosomal RNA". It matches the Rfam family "Bacterial small subunit ribosomal RNA", at positions 524 to 776 of the family's 1533-position model. The record is from RNAcentral.